AAAGCGUGCGCAGGCGGCUUUGCAAGACAGAUGUGAAAUCCCCGGGCUCAACCUGGGAACUGCAUUUGUGACUGCAAGGCUAGAGUACGGUAGAGGGGGAUGGAAUUCCGCGUGUAGCAGUGAAAUGCGUAGAUAUGCGGAGGAACACCAAUGGCGAAGGCAAUCCCCUGGACCUGUACUGACGCUCAUGCACGAAAGCGUGGGGAGCAAACAGGAUUAGAUACCCUUGU
Molecule: ribosomal RNA, 230 nt
Filed under: uncultured bacterium
Lineage: Bacteria
Description: partial 16S ribosomal RNA
Rfam family: Bacterial small subunit ribosomal RNA
Source: RNAcentral